GGGGGGGGGGGGCGGGGGGCGGGGGAGAGGGAAGGCGAGGGGGGAGGGGGGGAGCGUGCGCCGCGGAGGGGGGCGGCGGACGGGUGAGUAACACGUGGAUAACCUACCUAUAAGACUGGGAUAACUUCGGGAAACCGGAGCUAAUACCGGAUAAUAUAUUGAACCGCAUGGUUCAAUAGUGAAAGACGGUUUUGCUGUCACUGAUAGAUGGAUCCGCGCCGCAUUAGCUAGUUGGUAAGGUAACGGCUUACCAAGGCGACGAUGCGUAGCCGACCUGAGAGGGUGAUCGGCCACACUGGAACUGAGACACGGUCCAGACUCCUACGGGAGGCAGCAGUAGGGAAUCUUCCGCAAUGGGCGAAAGCCUGACGGAGCAACGCCGCGUGAGUGAUGAAGGUCUUCGGAUCGUAAAACUCUGUUAUUAGGGAAGAACAAAUGUGUAAGUAACUAUGCACGUCUUGACGGUACCUAAUCAGAAAGCCACGGCUAACUACGUG
Molecule: ribosomal RNA, 497 nt
Filed under: uncultured bacterium
Lineage: Bacteria
Description: partial 16S ribosomal RNA
Rfam family: Bacterial small subunit ribosomal RNA
Source: RNAcentral